GAUGAACGCUGGCGGCGUGCCUAAUACAUGCAAGUCGAGCGAACGGACGAGAAGCUUGCUUCUCUGAUGUUAGCGGCGGACGGGUGAAUAACACGUGGAUAACCUACCUAUAAGACUGUGAUAACUUCGGGAAACCGUAGCUAAUACCGGAUAAUAUUUUGAACCGCAUGGUUCAAAAGUGAAAGACGGUCUUGCUGUCACUUAUAGAUGGAUCCGCGCUGCAUUAGCUAGUUGGUAAGGUAACGGCUUACCAAGGCAACGAUGCAUAGCCGACCUGAGAGGGUGAUCGGCCACACUGGAACUGAGACACGGUCCAGACUCCUACGGGAGGCAGCAGUAGGGAAUCUUCCGCAAUGGGCGAAAGCCUGACGGAGCAACGCCGCGUGAGUGAUGAAGGUCUUCGGAUCGUAAAACUCUGUUAUUAGGGAAGAACAUAUGUGUAAGUAACUGUGCACAUCUUGACGGUACCUAAUCAGAAAGCCACGGCUAACUACGUG
RNAcentral lists this ribosomal RNA (497 nucleotides) under uncultured bacterium. RNAcentral's name for it is "partial 16S ribosomal RNA". It matches the Rfam family "Bacterial small subunit ribosomal RNA", at positions 28 to 507 of the family's 1533-position model. The record is from RNAcentral.